This 611-nucleotide ribosomal RNA is filed under the name Trichoderma harzianum. RNAcentral's name for it is "eukaryotic LSU rRNA". The stretch from base 227 to 380 matches the Rfam family "5.8S ribosomal RNA". The record is from RNAcentral. Lineage: Eukaryota; Fungi; Ascomycota; Sordariomycetes; Hypocreales; Hypocreaceae.
UUGGUGACCAGCGGAGGGAUCAUUACCGAGUUUACAACUCCCAAACCCAAUGUGAACGUUACCAAACUGUUGCCUCGGCGGGAUCUCUGCCCCGGGUGCGUCGCAGCCCCGGACCAAGGCGCCCGCCGGAGGACCAACCAAAACUCUUAUUGUAUACCCCCUCGCGGGUUUUUUUAUAAUCUGAGCCUUCUCGGCGCCUCUCGUAGGCGUUUCGAAAAUGAAUCAAAACUUUCAACAACGGAUCUCUUGGUUCUGGCAUCGAUGAAGAACGCAGCGAAAUGCGAUAAGUAAUGUGAAUUGCAGAAUUCAGUGAAUCAUCGAAUCUUUGAACGCACAUUGCGCCCGCCAGUAUUCUGGCGGGCAUGCCUGUCCGAGCGUCAUUUCAACCCUCGAACCCCUCCGGGGGGUCGGCGUUGGGGAUCGGCCCUGCCUUAGCGGGUGGCCGUCUCCGAAAUACAGUGGCGGUCUCGCCGCAGCCUCUCCUGCGCAGUAGUUUGCACACUCGCAUCGGGAGCGCGGCGCGUCCACAGCCGUUAAACACCCAACUUCUGAAAUGUUGACCUCGGAUCAGGUAGGAAUACCCGCUGAACUUAAGCAUAUCAAUAAGCGGA